UCUCCGUAGGUGAACCUGCGGAGGGAUCAUUACCGAGUGAAGGGCCUCCGGGUCCGAUCUCCCACCCUUUGUGAUUAAACCUCUGUUGCCUCGGGGGUGACCCGGCGCGUUUAUCGCGUUGGGGCCCCCGGCGGACCCCAGCCCACUCUUGCGUCCCGACGUCGGUUCAAUUGAUGAAUAUCAAAAAACUUUCAACAACGGAUCUCUUGGUUCUGGCAUCGAUGAAGAACGCAGC
RNAcentral lists this unclassified non-coding RNA (235 nucleotides) under uncultured fungus. RNAcentral's name for it is "sequence contains ITS1, 5.8S rRNA gene". The stretch from base 187 to 235 matches the Rfam family "5.8S ribosomal RNA", at positions 1 to 49 of the family's 154-position model. The record is from RNAcentral. Lineage: Eukaryota; Fungi.